UUUGCAAUCAAAAGUCUUACAAAUUGCUUUGUCUGAGGCCAGGGAAGUGAAGACCUCUUACCAGGGAUUGGUAUAUCCGCUCCACGCCUGCAGAGGUAAGCCAAUACACCAUUUGGCUAGAGGAAAGUAAUAUUGAUUAAUGGUACAGGCAAAAGGGUCUCAGUCUUUUUAGGCAAAGAGAUGCAAAAAGUUUUCAAAACAGCAACAUAUUUUCUAUCCUGAAACCCUUUUGUAGGCAAUCUGAAAGUACUACUGUGCCUGGGCAUUUUUCUUUUUUCUCUAUUGUUCAAUUAUUUAUGAUAACUUAUAAUGCAAUAGCAUCGGUAAGCCGUAGUUAGCCAAGUCCCUUUGUAUCACCCACAAAAAUGAUGGUACUGGGAAGUGUUAAGUCUCUGCUCUGAUGAUAGUUGCUGUUCUCCCCAUUCUCCUUGAACACCACACUAAGAGUGAUGUUUGCAUCCAUUGUAAAUUGUAAUAGACCUGAAGGGAAUUGCCUGUACCUGCAUUUGCUUUCUCAUAAAAAAAAAAAAAAAAAAAAAAAAAGGGGAAAUAACAUUUUACUGAGGCACGUUUCUCCUGGCUGCUUGGAACAGGGGUCGGGUGACUCAUGUUUGUGGUUGCUCAUGCUUCAAUCUCUUCUGCUGCUUACAGCUUGGUCUUGCUGUUUGUUUUGCACAUUUUGCCGCUCUCCUACUUGUUAAACAUUUUAUACCAGACCAAUGAAUAACAGUUGAUGUCUGUCCUUUUCACCCAGACAGAUAUGACUGUAAAUAAAACACCUGCUCUGAAAGAAAAUAAAAUUGGGAACUUGAAAACAAGUCAGUCUUUCAGCCGAGCUACAAACCAUGGUCAUAUGCUUGAGGACAGAUUUUAACCCCAGUCUUGAGCAACAAUUAAUCUAUAUUUUGGCAUGUUCCCAGCAGAGGAUGGAUAACGAACAUCAGAUACAGGUUCUGAAAGAGCUCUUGCUGCUGGGACGCUUGCAGUUCUUCUGGCAAUGACCUGAGGGUCCUAACUGAUCAUAGCUCCCAAUAGCUGGACUGGUCAUUUCACAGAACUAGGACAGAUUUAAAGAUUUUCCUUAUGCUAUUUUCCCUCUAAUUUAGAACCACUGAGUUACCCGUUUUCAAUGAUAUUUUUAAAAGUCUUAACUGCUUGCAAUUUUAUUUAAUAAGCUAAAAUGUUGCAUUUAUGUUACAUUUUAACUUGCAAAUAAGUCAGUCCAGAUUUCCGAUAUGCAUUUUGCACUCAGGGUAAAAUAUGGAUAUCAAGAUGGAGUUGCAGGCUUAAAGAAAUAAUAAUAGCAGUAAUUCUGUUGAGUAUGAACCCAGAAGGUCUAUUGCAAUUGCCUUGCCUGAUCUUCUAUAUAAAACAGUUCAGAGGACUUCCUUUAAAUAAUAUUUAUGUAGAGUAGACUGUAUCUUUUAGGGGAAAAAUCUAAUUAUGAUUUUAAAAAAUACGGUAAUUUUAAUAACAACUGGCCUUUUGUCAUUGUCUCCCUAAUGCAUAUGUGAGCCACAUCCUUAACAGUGGUUUCCUUUAAUGCCAUUUCAAUCCCCGUUAUACUUUUUUGAUAUAUCUUAUUGCAAGAGCAUAAAUAAUACCUAGUGCCUUUACAAGGUUUCAUAUUAAUUAAGCGGAAAUUAUUGCUUAUUUCCUGAUGUAGAGGCUCUAUAACAUAAAAUCAGGUUGUUGUUUUUGUCUUUGUAUUUUUAUGUGUGUUUGGAUUUCCUGAGAACGGCUUUAUUUUGAGUAACAAGGUUUUUACUUUUAAGAAACACAGGGCAAGACAGAAAUCAGUUAGAGAGCUGUAAAAAUAUUGAGCUGUUGACAAUUUUCAAAAAUCUUUUAUACUGAAAAAUGUGGACUCAUUAAAUUUAUCAUACAGUCUGCAACUGAAAGUAAGAAAGAGGUUGCUGGCUAGAUAAGGUAUUCAGGAUUCCAGUGAAAUAGUACAAAUAAAAAUUCAGUGUUUUCCAAAUAAAAUAGUCUUUAAUUGUUUUUCCCAGUAAGGACUUCUUCCACCUCCACACUAAUAAGCAUUCUUCUGUGCUUCAACUAGCUACCCACUCACUUUCUCUCUUUAAAGACAUCGGCUCUUCCAAUUACCAUUGAGAAUUUUCAGUCUCUCAUUAAAUUUGGAGCAGUAGGCAAUUUAAUCAGGUGGUAAUCAGUGUAACAUUACAGAAAAUGACCUUUAGAAAUGGUAUGUUAGAAAUUUGGAUACUCUGUUUUAUCAUACAAGUUCUUACUGUUUAGUUAGUUUACAGUUCUGUUUGGAAAAAAAUAGAUGACUUGUAGACAGCAAUGGAAUAUGGUCAAAGGUAGAAAUAAUGAUUUUCUUUAUACAUCAUUGUCUUUGAUUUUACAUACAAUCUCCUAUAAAUCAAGCAAAUCUUAAAUUUGGUUCCCCCCUUCUAAAGCCCUGUUUGUACAGGCUCAGACAAGCACGGAGCUGGCAGGGAGUCUGGGACGUUGUUUUACAGCAUCAUUCCUCGGACAAAAUCCACUUUUUGGCUGUUUAUUUUUGUUUUCCUAGUUAAAGUACCAUCUCCCAUUCCUUGCAAAGAAAUCCUUUUGCAGAGGGAGGUUUUACGUUACAAGGUGUGAUUCAGAGAGUGCUCGUGGGCUGUGGCAGUGGAGCUCAUGGCACCCAUGGGAUCAGCAGGCAAGCUGAGCACUGCAGACUACUGCAGGGCUUGGUCUUCUCUGCUGUGGGGACAGGGGCCAGUGGCUCCAGAGAAUCUUUUUCCAGACUCCCUAGAGACUUAAGACAUCACUCUGUCAAAAAGUUUGCUUAAACAAGGGCAAAUAGGUAGAAUGGGAAAGCUGCCAGCCCAAAAUGAGUGGUCUGCUGGCACAGCAUGAUUUGGCAUGGCAUAAUUCUGAUGAAGCAUUCUAAGCCAUUCAGUGCGAUUGCUGCCUGUGUUCAUUACAAGUUGGCAAAUUGUAACUACCCUCAUACAAAUAAGCCAUUGUAAAUUUGGGUUUUAGUUAAGCAAAUUUAGUUGGGUAGGAGAACUGAGAUCCAAAGCAACUGCCUGUCCCAUGCACUCAAAUCACAAAUCAGUAUUUUUUUCUCCCCAUUCAUGACAUUACAAGCACAUGUAGUCCUUAAAAAUUCUGGAAUUUGCAGCUUAGUCACAAAAUUCUACAUCCCCUCUGAUACAAGUCUUUUUAUGUGUGAUCCAGACCAGUUAAAGCCGUGCGCUUGUAUGCUGUUUGGAGGCUGUCUGUGUAAUGCCUGCGUAAUACAAGGUGAACAGAGAAGAUUUGACUUUUGUCACUCUUCUAGCACUGAUGUGAACUGGGUGUAUGGUCUGGGGUAGUAGACCCAGUGUACUUUGUGUUUCUUAGACACUAGCAUUGUCUGGGGAUCUAAAUAUAUCUUUCAUAUUAUAUCACAUUAAGUUAUGUAAUAGAACACUACUUAGCACUGCCAGCCAGAGGAGAAGAUACGUCAUCCUCUUACACAUCUGUAUCAUAAAUACAAAAGUAUUUAUGUUAAGAAGGCAGGACUACCAGAAUUUCCUAAGAGAAGUAUCUUAAAGGUGUUAUUGUUACGGCAGUUCUGCUUCAGUUUUGGUGAUGAAAUCUGAAUCAGCUCCUUGCAGGAAAAGAAUACCAGUUUCAUGGGAUUAGAAUUAACGAAGAGGCACCAAUUUCUCCCCUUGGUGGAUUAGAGAAAUUAACAAAAAACCAGCAUGCCAAAAUUGAGCAUCCCAGUACUACCCUUACAUAUUUCCUGAGUACACAUCCAGGAAGAAAAUUUGACAGUGAAGCAGUGUUUAAUGCUCUUUCUUUCACAGUUGGUGAAUAACAAAAAUGUUCAGCAAAAUGAACCUCAAGAGAGAGGCCAAACUCAAGAGCAACUAAGUGGAAAUUAAAAACCAUGAGAACUUUCAAUGGCCACUUACCAAAAGUGAAAUGGGUUCCCUCUGCUGUCUUCUGGAUUUAAAUUCUCUUUUACAAAAUAUGAAAUGAGAAUGUCAAAAUACUAGCCAGUGAUAUGCAAUACUGUAAUUCGUUGAAUAUUUUAGGAUUCUGCUUUGAGUUGUUGUCUCUAAGCAACACGUCAGUCAGCAUUGCACUAUUUCAUAUGACUAUAAAAUAUAUACAUUUUUUCUCACCUAAAUAGCAAUAUUGUUAAAACCUUUGAGGACAGCUAUGUUAAACAGCGGAUUAGUUGGUAAAAGCCAGAAGAUCGAUAUUGUAUUGUUUUGACUCCUCACUAUAGGACUCAACUGGGAAAGCUGCUCAUCAAAAACACAUUGAAAUGGAGACAAAAAGAGAUAUGAAUUACCGGGUGUGUAACGAGAUUAAUUGAAGAAAAGUCUGGAGGGAAUUUUACAGAUGUCCUAGUCAUGAGAAACUUUGCAAAAAGCUUGUGAAGCUGCCCACAGAUUUGAAGCUGUGAGAAAUCUGAAAUGCCACGGAUGACUAUGACGCUACUUAAAAUUGCUGAGGUUAAUGGACUGCAUGGUUCUCUGUCUUAUCUGCUGGAGAACUACUUUGGACUGAAUCAAGAUAUAAACAAAAUUACCAAAUAUCAUGAAACUAAUGUCAUUGGUGUAAGAGCUGGUAAAUGGCAACAGCUACAGAGAGUAGAAGUCUACAUUCAAAACAGUUUUGUCAAAAAAAGGUUUUGAACUUUAAGCCCUUUCCUUUCGUUUUUCUCUGGGAAGUGUAGAUGACAGCAUUUGAAUUUUAUUCUGGAUAUACAAAUAUGUAUGUUUUAAUAAAGUCCUGUGAACAUUUAUA
Molecule: long non-coding RNA, 4761 nt
Organism: Oxyura jamaicensis (ruddy duck)
Lineage: Eukaryota; Metazoa; Chordata; Aves; Anseriformes; Anatidae
Exons: 3
Source: RefSeq, a predicted model, not a curated record